AAGGGACAUGGGAGACAUUUAAAAAUGUCUUUAUUUUAACCGACAUGAGGCGCGUUCACUGUUAAAAGUAUAGACGACGACAAAAUUGUCGGACAAGACUGUUUUAUUACGAAGUCGCUUGUAUUUUGAAAAGUAUAUCAAUAUGAGGCAAUCAUUGGGCAGAGGACUAGCGUAUACACACUUACUAUAUAAGAUAAUAAAUACCUACAUAUUAUUUUAAUUCAAGAGAAAAAUUAUUUGACAUGUUAAAAUUCUGAAAUAAGUUUAAAAUACAAGACUGAAAAUACUUGUAAUUUCGGUAAAGACAAAUUUGUCUGAUAUUA
RNAcentral lists this unclassified non-coding RNA (323 nucleotides) under Melitaea cinxia (Glanville fritillary). Its description in RNAcentral is "misc RNA ENSMCXG00005018014.1". Lineage: Eukaryota; Metazoa; Arthropoda; Insecta; Lepidoptera; Nymphalidae. The record is from RNAcentral.